CCUUGCUCUAGGUUAAUGGUGGAGGGAUCUGGCCUUGCUCUAGGUUAAUGGUGAGGGAACUGGCCUUGCUCUAGGUUAAUGGUGAGGGAACUGGCCUUGCUCUAGGUUAAUGGUGGAGGGAUCUGGCCUUGCUCUAGGUUAAUGGUGGAGGGUUCUGGCCUUGCUCUAGGUUAAUGGUGAGGGAUCUGGCCUUGCUCUAGGUUAAUGGUGGAGGGUUCUGGCCUUGCUCUAGG
Oncorhynchus keta (chum salmon) is the source of this 233-nucleotide long non-coding RNA. RefSeq lists it as uncharacterized. Lineage: Eukaryota; Metazoa; Chordata; Actinopteri; Salmoniformes; Salmonidae. The transcript has 3 exons. The record is from RefSeq and is a predicted model, not a curated record.